UGAACAUGUGACGAGUUUGAACAUCAAAUGGCAACUUGUGCUGCCACCGGACAGUAAAAAAAAGUUUCUGGCGCAGCACAGCAAUGGUCUUAUCCAGAUGGUGGGACAAAGGCAUUUCCUAACAAACAUGCUAACGUUCUUUGUUGUUACCUUUAAGGUUGGAACCAACCAGCAGUAACUCCAGCAGGAAGAAAGACAAUACGUUUUAGCUGUUGGUGAUCAUUUCCUAAGUGUUGAUACAUUGGUGUUUACGCCAUUAAGCCUGUAUGUAUGUGUUAUUAAUGACCAAAGGUGUCUGACCUUUUAGUAAGCACAGCGUCAUAUGAUAAGACAUUUAUGUGUAUGUUAGUAAUGACCAAACGGGUCUGACGUUAUAGUAAGUACAGCACCAUAUGAUAUAAGGCAUUUAUGUACAGUACCAGUCAAAAGUGUGGACACAGCUACUAUAACACAUAUGGAAUCAUGUAGUAACCAAAAAAGUGUUCUCUCUUUCUCUCUCUUUCAUACACACACAAUUACUCCAUUGUCCAACUAUUAGCCCAUAACAAUACAGCAAUAGUCAUAGACAUCAAUACUCAUAGCUGUCUUCCAUUCAUAAGGAAGUAAUACCAGAGUUUUGCACAGUACAGAUUUAGAACCUUUUAACUCUAUUUGCUCAGCAGGCUAACACGGUCAAGGGACACAUACUAUCCGGGUUGAUAUUCAGCAUAGUAGUGGUGCCAGUGGUAACUACUCACCCUCAACAUGGAUGACCCCCACAAGGUGCAGUAGUUUAACCGCCCCGCAGAUCAGAAGCAUAAUAGCUAUGAUAUGGAGACUGCUCGCCUCAUGUUCUCCCUCAUUAUCCAUCUCUCCUUUAUCUCUACAUCUAUCAGGUCUACCGCUGGUUUUUUGCCUUUCUUCCUGUUCUCCUAUCUUUCCCUGCUCUGGCGGUACGUAUGUAAACUUUCUACAGGACGUAUCCCACCCCUCUCUCUCUCUCUCUACUUCUGUCUCCUCUCACUGACUGCAACCACUAUCAUUCUACCUGCCUCGCUCUCUCUCUCCACCUCUUCCCUCCUUAUCCCCCUCGCCCAUCUCUUUCUCUCCCUCUUACCUUCGCACCAUGCCUGUGACCCUCACUCCCCCUAUCCCCAGUUUCCCGCUCUCACACUCAUUCCCUCCCCCUUUCUCUCUGUUUAGUAAUAGAAUGUCCUUCACUCUCAGGAUGGACACCACCUCCAGGGCAAGAGAUGAACCACUGAACCUACCAGAACAAUGAUACACUCACCUUCAACCUGCCAGCUGUGUGUGUGUGUGUGUGUGUGUGUGUGUGUGUGUGUGUGUGUGUGUGUGUGUGUGUGUGUGUGUGUGUGUGUGUGUGUGUGUGUGUGUGUGUGUGUGUGUGUGUGUGUGUGUGUGUGUGUGUGUGUGUGUGUGUGUGUGUGUGUGUGUGUGUGUGUGUACUGUACAUCACAGAGCUGUGCUUAACUUGCUUGAAGGUAACUUUGCUAAAUUGACGUUAUAUCCUUUAAAUGAUACACAAUUACAAUAGACACAAGUUAUUGUCCCCCAUGUAAACCAACCAGUGACGCCAAGAGCUUUUAUUUUUACCUAGAAAAUACAUUCCACUGUAUGUGUAGGCCGUCAUUGUAAAUAAUAAUUUGUUCUUAACUGACUUGCCUAGUUAAAUAAAGGUUAAAUAAAAAUGUAAUAUACAAAUGAAUAAAGUAAAAUCAACUUGCAGUAAUUAAAAUUUUACCAGUAGAGGGAGGCAGACUCUCUUGAAAGAUUAGAUCCCUGACUGCCAUUGUCCACUUCCUCCUUUCAUAUUGGUCUAAUGGUAUUAUUCCAGAACCUGUUCAGCACUUUGAACAUGUCUUGUCAGGGUUUCCUUACAAUGGAAUGGGCGGAAGGUAGCCUAGCAGUUAAGCAAGUUGGGCCAUUAACCAAAAGGUUUGAAUCCCCAAACUGACUAGGUGAUUCUAUUUUUGUCAAUGUGCCCUUGAGCUAGGCACUUAAUCCUAAUUGCUUCUGUAAAUCUCGCUGGAUAAGCGUGUGAUGUAAAUAAGUGUAUGCAUCCCUAUUCUUCUCCUCUGUCGUCCUAUUUAAACUGAUCCCGGUAAUCCUUCUGUAGGAGACGCUCGUUUGCAUAAUCUGAAUCAGGCAAGGGCUACAGCUGCUUCUCAUUGGCUGUUUAACAGCGAGGAGCACUCGCUAAGAAGCAUAACCACCACUCUGACAUCACAACACUGAGCAGGUGUGUAAAGCUCCUAGGCCCCAAUUCCGACCCAAUUAAGAGUGUCUAAAGGGAACGUAGCAUUGGAAGAGCAUGCUAUUCACCCACUAUUCGUUUUGGGUGGAGAUGGAAUAAAUGAAGACGUGGCGGAGGUGUUUCUACAGCUACACCGUAUUCUGACCUGGACUUCAUUCCCUCAUAAUUACACCACCUUUACACGUGAGGAAACCAUGAGUAAGGUCAAGCGAACCUGCCGGUUCCAAGUGGAAAAAGCAUCUACUUUCCUUUUCCUAAUGGAAAUAACAGAAUUUCCCGUGCACAUUUAUAAUUUUAUUUAUAAAUUGCUAAGUGCUAUUGAUAAGAGCUGGGUAAAUGAGUAAUCUGUAGAAGGGGAUUGUAAACACAAAUGGUAAUUGUUUUAGAUGAUUUUUCCUUAUGAUCCCUGGUGAUUAAUGUGAUCUAGCCAUAUGGAAGCAAACUGAAAGUCAUAUCAACUAUAAUCAUCUAUUGCGGCCCCUUUUCCAUGGUCAAAUUGGAAAUAAACCGUUUUGCCGUUAUUCUAAAUUUGAAUUGUGUGCCCUCGUAAUUUGCACGGAUGAAAUGUGGAGACUAAUGCUAGACAUCAGUAGGGCUGAUGAGUUGAUCUAUGCACUUUGUUUUGAUUCUGUGCCAAGGCUUUUCUCCAUUUUAUUUGACCGUUUGUAACAUGUUAAAUAUUAGCCACUAUCGGGAGCCACCGUUAGUAAUACCCACGUGCAUGUAUUUUUGCAUCAUUCCAUUCUGUUUACCUCUCUUCCCUCUGUCACAUCCUUGUAGUUGUACAAUCGUUUGAGACAUGUAGCCUCAUUAUGGAACCCAGACCACGCGUAGCAGGUUAAACCUGGAGCCUGGCGCACAGUUCACAACGACUGGAUCGUAGUCGUAUGAUCAGGGAGGAUCAGGGUAGAUUUAGGGUAGACUGUUGUUCAACCCCUAUCAUGCGCCUUUUCCCCCCACCUUCCGAUAUUUUGUGGACUGAACUUGAAUAUGGCAACUUUCAGGGUGAAUCAAACCACUGUACUUUUUAGUCACUGUUAUAUUUUGUGUGCAAAGGUUCAUUUUUGUACUUUCCUAACACUAAAACGUGACUGAAUAAUCUACAUGAAUGCAUCUACCAGUUGGUGCUGAAACAGACGAAUAUGCAUAGAUGGCUUUCUUUCUUGGCAGCCUAUAUUCUGACCCUGUUCUCUCAAUGUGUUCUAAUGAGUCUGUCGACCAAAUUCUAAUUAAAAGUACACCUUAUUUAAACGGAUGGCUGAAGACAAAUGUACUUUUAAAGCCCAUUGAAUGAAAACUCCAUGAGAAUAUCUGUUGGCAACUCAACAA
Long non-coding RNA from Oncorhynchus gorbuscha (pink salmon), 3583 nucleotides. RefSeq lists it as uncharacterized. NCBI's taxonomy places the organism in Eukaryota, Metazoa, Chordata, Actinopteri, Salmoniformes, Salmonidae. The record is from RefSeq and is a predicted model, not a curated record. The transcript is spliced from 3 exons.